GUUGCCAUCAGGUAAUGCUGGGGACUCUAAAGGAACUGCCUACGCAAGUAGUGAGGAAGGCGGGGAUGACGUCAAAUCAGCACGGCCCUUACGUCCAGGGCUACACACGUGCUACAAUGGCCGAUACAGAGGGCAGCUACCUGGUGACAGGAUGCAAAUCUCCAAAGUCGGUCUCAGUUCGGAUCGGAGUCUGCAACCCGACUCCGUGAAGUUGGAUUCGCUAGUAAUCGCGCAUCAGCCAUGGCGCGGUGAAUACGUUCCCGGGCCUU
This 269-nucleotide ribosomal RNA is filed under the name uncultured Sphingobacteriales bacterium. Its description in RNAcentral is "partial 16S ribosomal RNA". It matches the Rfam family "Bacterial small subunit ribosomal RNA", at positions 1114 to 1382 of the family's 1533-position model. Lineage: Bacteria; Pseudomonadati; Bacteroidota; Sphingobacteriia; Sphingobacteriales. The record is from RNAcentral.